GCAUUGGUGGUUCAGUUGUAGAAUUCUUGCUUUCCAUGUGGGAGACCAGGGUUUGAUUCCCGCCAAUGCA
This 70-nucleotide transfer RNA is filed under the name Loxodonta africana (African savanna elephant). It matches the Rfam family "tRNA". From Rfam's summary of the family: Transfer RNA (tRNA) molecules are approximately 80 nucleotides in length. Their secondary structure includes four short double-helical elements and three loops (D, anti-codon, and T loops). Further hydrogen bonds mediate the characteristic L-shaped molecular structure. tRNAs have two regions of fundamental functional importance: the anti-codon, which is responsible for specific mRNA codon recognition, and the 3' end, to which the tRNAs corresponding amino acid is attached (by aminoacyl-tRNA synthetases). tRNAs cope with the degeneracy of the genetic code in two manners: having more than one tRNA (with a specific anti-codon) for a particular amino acid; and 'wobble' base-pairing, i.e. permitting non-standard base-pairing at the 3rd anti-codon position. Lineage: Eukaryota; Metazoa; Chordata; Mammalia; Proboscidea; Elephantidae. The record is from Rfam by way of RNAcentral.